UAGCCACGUCGAUGGAUAGGUGAGUAGAUAGUGUUUAUUGAUCGUUAAAAUUGUACAAAUUGUAAAAUAGUGGAUAUAUGUUAAACCCCAAAGAGCUUAUAUAGUACUCCCAAAACUAGUAACAGAAUAGGACGAAGAUAGGUCCAUGAAAACAAAACCAAAAAGCCCACAUAACAAAUACUAUCCCGUGAUGGUUGUUCAAAGGGGAAAAUUGAUUCAAUGUGUAUACAGCCCCAUCGCUGGCCCAGGGCAACUGGGGCGACCGCCCUGGGCCCCCCAAAAAAAAAGCCCACGUUGCUGAAAUGAAGGACUGAAGUUUGAAGGCCCUAAAUAAAUAAAAAAAAAUUAAAAAAAAAAAAAACUUUAAAGAAGCGUAUUUUUCUUUCCCCUGACUUUCAAAUGCAAAUCCCUAAAAUCAUAAAUUAAGAUAUUCAAAGAAACGAUUUCUUUCCUAAUAUUCAGACAAUCUCCUCAACUUCUUUCCCCUAAUUUUCGGCCAUAAUAUUCUCUUUCCAAAGUAAUUUGAUUUCUCCAAAAAAAAACGUUCAAUCUUCAAUCUAAUCCCCAAGAUGUAUUUGUAUACAAUUUUCAAUUUCAGUCAGAUGAAUUGGGGUUGUUUCGAGAAUCGAGAUUCAAUUGAAGAGGAAAACGAUCAAAAACGCUGUUUCCGAGUUGAAGAACAAUCAGAAGUUGGGGAAAAAAAUUGGGAAAAAAAAUUCAAUUAAUUGGUUGAGUUUGGUUCCUUGGUGAAACAAUGGCUUCCGACUUCCGAGUUUCAGAUUAAUUGGUUGAUUUUCAACGAAUUUCAGAUUUGAGAUAUUAUUUGGAAUGCAAUUGUUCAAAUUGAGGCAUUGAGCAGAAUUUGGUGUUAAAUCUUCAAUUAUAAGGUGUUUUUGCUCUUUUUUAUACUUUUAUUAAUUUUCAUUAUUUCAUAUAAUGUUGCCUAGAAGAUAUUUAUCUGGUAAUGAUAAGAGGAAAAAAACAAAAAGAGCUGAAGAGUUAAUAGAAUCUCAAAAGGGUUCCAUUGACAAAAUUUUUACUAAAAUAGUACAAGUAGACAAGUCAUCUCAUGAAUUGGGGGAAAAUGAAAAUCAUGAAUAAGCUAAUGAGGACUUAAACAAUGUUAAUAAUGCCAAUGACCCGAAUGAGAAUGCGACUCAUAUGAAAGAACCAAUGGAUGCACCAAAUGCAUCCAAUGUUAAUAAUAUAGGCAUUGAUGAACAAAUAGUCCCUCCUUUCGAUUUUUAUGAUCCUAAUAAUUGGGGUAAUCUUGACAAUAAAGGGAGGGAUAUUUUAAUUGAAAAAGGACCCAUAAGAGACUUGAACCUUGUGUUUCCAAUUGAUGACAAAUUAAUUGAAAAAGGACCCAUAAGAGACUUGAACCUUGUGUUUCCAAUUGAUGACAAAUUAAUUGAAAAAGGACCCAUAAGAGACUUGAACCUUGUGUUUCCAAUAGGGCCCCAAUUUAUAUCUUUGCCUCGGGCCACUAAAAUCUCAGAAACGGGGCUGUGUGUAUAUAUUCUAACAUUUCCAUUUAAUUUUCCAUUGUUGAGCGAGAAUUGGUGAGUUUACAGUUGUAAAACAUACUAUCUUCGUGAUUGGAGUUUGGGGAGUUAUUGAAAGCUCGGUAAGAAACCAAUUCAAGGGGGAAUUGAGGUGCUCUAGCUAAUCAUUUAUUGUUAGAGAUCAAAUUGGAAACAAGUUAAAUUCAUAAUUGCUAUAAAUUUGAUAUAAUUUCUCCUCCAUAGUUGUAAGAGAUCAAAUCAAAUUGAUCGAUGUGACAUAAUAUAAGUAUUUAGUUGAGAAUUGUCACGUAAUGUUCAGGAUGGAUGAGGACCAUGCCAAAUCCGAUUGAGAUCUCACUAAAUCGGACUCUAUCCUAUCUUAAACCUAAUUGAGUUAGUCUAAUUAUUCAUAUAUUUGGACAAUUUAUACCUAAAUUCCUACUCGUCAGCAUAAGUAUUUUUCAGGGCAAGUGGCACAUUUGUUAGUCAGUUUAAUUACAGGUGCUUUUAAUUUGCCUUUUUAUUAACGUAAAUUCAAUUGAGGUGACAAUUAUUUGAGCUCUUUUAGCAAAAUGUAUUAACAAGUCAACCUAAUUCAACGACUUAACAUUCCAAUCCUUUGAAAGUCCUCAAAGGUACCAUAGCUAACAGAUAUCGAAUUUGCAAAAACUACUAUUUGAAAAUUGCUAUUCAUACAAGGUAUGUUUACCCUAAUCGAAUAUGUAAGCAAAACUAGCCGAAACUAAUAAUACGUUGGUCAACAUUCGAAAGAGCAAAACAAAAUUUUGUCAAAAUAAGUAGUUUUCAAUUGAAGCGCCCACUAGUACGGAAAAUCAACAUUCAACCUUUGAACACACACUUGUAAGUAAUAAAGACUACAACUUGAGAUCUCAUACUAAAAAGAAACCAAAAAAGGGUAAAAAAAAAUACUUCAUAAAUAAAUAAUUGUGGAUAUAAAUAAAUUAAUUAAUAUCCCAUAAAUAAAAAAGCAAUAAGAAUAAUAUCCAAAAAUCCUAGAUUCUCGAAAAGGCAAGUAGUAGCAUUCCAUGAGUAACACAUCAAACUCUCUUCAUUUAUCCAAUCAUCAUUUGUGGGGGUUUAGAGAUUAUUCAAUUUUACAAACGUUACUAUCAAAAAUCUAUUGAUAUUUUGAGGUCUUACUUUGUCCUUUCCAAGUAAAAAGCCUCUCAUUCUAUGUCUCUAAUUUUGUUAUAUCAUAAAAUUCCAUUCAUAUGAUCUUUUUUAUAGGGAGUACAUACGUGUUCGGGUGUUUUUUUAUAUUCUUAUUUUGUCGCUCUUUUUAAAUAUUCUGUUAUAUACUCUCUUAUAUCUUUGAUACGAAGCAUAAGAGUAGUUAUGUAUGAUGCUCUUCAAGCUUGUUGCCUGAACGUUAUCACGUGUUUCUCGAAAUGAGAAUUCCAAAUUUGAGUUUUUAAGAUAUAUAAUAUUAUUAGUGACUUUGGACUUUUAUUAAGGACUUAAAAUUGUUGAAAAUUAUUUUUGAGUUUAAUAAUAGUCCAAAUUUAUAACAUUAUUUUUACAGUAUUUAUUGAAAUUAUGAAAUUUCAACACUAGUUGACAUCCCGCCAAAAAAAAAAAAAAAAA
This is a long non-coding RNA of Chenopodium quinoa (quinoa), 3110 nucleotides long. RefSeq lists it as uncharacterized. NCBI's taxonomy places the organism in Eukaryota, Viridiplantae, Streptophyta, Magnoliopsida, Caryophyllales, Amaranthaceae. The transcript has 3 exons. The record is from RefSeq and is a predicted model, not a curated record.